RNAcentral lists this ribosomal RNA (274 nucleotides) under uncultured bacterium. RNAcentral's name for it is "partial 16S ribosomal RNA". It matches the Rfam family "Bacterial small subunit ribosomal RNA", at positions 523 to 796 of the family's 1533-position model. The record is from RNAcentral.
AUACGGAGGGUGCAAGCGUUAUCCGGAAUCACUGGGUUUAAAGGGUGCGUAGGCGGCCUGGUAAGUCAGAGGUGAAAUACACGAGCUUAACUGGUGAAUUGCCUUUGAAACUAUCAAGCUAGAAUUAUGUUGAGGUCAGCGGAAUGAGUCAUGUAGCGGUGAAAUGCAUAGAUAUGACUUAGAACACCAAUUGCGUAGGCAGCUGGCUGGGCAUUGAUUGACGCUGAGGCACGAAAGCGUGGGGAGCGAACAGGAUUAGAAACCCUAGUAGUCC